CAGAAAAAGAAAACAAAAGAGCCGAAGCUCUAAUCAAGUUGUAGCUUUGAGUUGGUGAAAUAAAAAGUGUGUGUUUGUUUGUUAUACAGCCUAUACAUAUUAAUAUUGCGUGUGUUUAAAUACUUAUAUGGUCCAUUUCGUUUCCAACAGAAUUGAAGUUUGCUAAACAAUGAAGAAAAUGCUUCAAAACUAGGGGGGUUUUUAUGAGUAUACAAUUGUUUACCAAGUACAGUGAAGCCAGGGGUACCCAUUAGCUCUAAGCAGUACAUGUUAUAACAUAUAAAACAAAGGCAAAAAGUUCUGCUCUCCUGCUGCCAAGAAGGCCGAUGUUGUUGACGUGGAGGCGUGAGAGUCGUUGGAUGUGAUCUGUUCUGCUAGUUUUUACUGUUUUAGUUUAAUGUGGUUAAUGGGAUGCAGGUCUAGGCUAGUAGUAGUCUAGUCAUAAAAGUUCAGUAUUUUGGGUGUUUAGAUGGAUGGUUAAAUUUGAACUUGAUAGACAGCUUUGUAUACAACCCUCUAGACAGGAAGUUGCUUUCUAUAUUAUAUCUACAGCCCGGUGAUGUAUGCUUCUGUUCUUGCGGCUAAUCCUACAAAACACAAUCAGUUUGCUCUCGGGCUUAGUGAUGGUGGCGUACUUGUUAAAAAACUUCGGAGGAUAUUGGAAAUGGCUAUGUAGCAUGCCAUAGCUUGAGACCAGCAACAAAUGAAAACUUGAUAUGAGCUUUUGUGAUAAUCAGAGCCGGGUGUCUCUUAGAAUCUGAAUGUUUUAGCACAUACAUGUACAGAUUGGAUUAGUGCAAGGGUUUUAAAGAUGUUUUUCU
This is a long non-coding RNA of Daucus carota subsp. sativus, 821 nucleotides long. RefSeq lists it as uncharacterized. The record is from RefSeq and is a predicted model, not a curated record. NCBI's taxonomy places the organism in Eukaryota, Viridiplantae, Streptophyta, Magnoliopsida, Apiales, Apiaceae. The transcript is spliced from 2 exons.